UAUUUUGAUUGUGCAAAGGUAGCAUAAUACUUAGUUUUUUAAUUGAGAACUGGUAUGAAUGGUUGGACGAGAAAAAAACUGUCUCAAUUUAAAUUUUAUUAGAAUUUUAUUUUUAAGUUAAAAAGCUUAAAUAAUUUUAAUAGACGAGAAGACCCUAUAGAGUUUUAUAAAAUUUAAAUUAAUAUAUAUUAAAGAAUAUUAUAAUUUAUUUAUUUUAAUUUUAUUUAGUUGGGGUGAUUAAAAAAUUUAAUAAACUUUUUUUAAAAAAAUUACAUUUAUAUAUGAAUAAUUGAUCC
Molecule: ribosomal RNA, 296 nt
Filed under: Sisyphus oralensis
Lineage: Eukaryota; Metazoa; Arthropoda; Insecta; Coleoptera; Scarabaeidae
Description: partial 16S ribosomal RNA
Source: RNAcentral